RNAcentral lists this unclassified non-coding RNA (301 nucleotides) under Glomus sp. RNAcentral's name for it is "partial contains 5.8S ribosomal RNA and internal transcribed spacer 2". The stretch from base 1 to 65 matches the Rfam family "5.8S ribosomal RNA", at positions 84 to 154 of the family's 154-position model. Lineage: Eukaryota; Fungi; Glomeromycota; Glomeromycetes; Glomerales; Glomeraceae. The record is from RNAcentral.
GUGAAUCAUCAAAUUUUUGAACGCAAAUUGCACUCUCCUCGGAGAGUAUGCCUGUUUGAGGGUCAGCCUAUAAAAAUCGACAUCGUUGCUGUUUCGCGGUGGCGUUCGUCGGAAAUUGGGUCAUCUUAAAUCUUUUGGUUUUAAGCGACUUAAAAUUUUCUUUUUGGUUCCAUGAACGUUUCUAAGAUAUUUACUUCUUACACGUUUAAGGUAUCGAUCUUUAUUAGACGUGGCCGUUGCAUCGGAUCACGUCCAUAAAUAUUUCGUUAACUGACCUCAGACAGGUAAGAACUCCCGCUGA